UUAAGCGACUAAGCGUACACGGUGGAUGCCCUGGCAGUCAGAGGCGAUGAAGGACGUGCUAAUCUGCGAAAAGCGUCGGUAAGGUGAUAUGAACCGUUAUAACCGGCGAUGUCCGAAUGGGGAAACCCAGUGCAAUUCGUUGCACUAUCGUUAACUGAAUACAUAGGUUAACGAGGCGAACCGGGGGAACUGAAACAUCUAAGUACCCCGAGGAAAAGAAAUCAACCGAGAUUCCCCCAGUAGCGGCGAGCGAACGGGGAGCAGCCCAGAGUCUGAAUCAGCUUGUGUGUUAGUGGAACGGUCUGGAAAGUCCGACGGUACAGGGUGAUAGUCCCGUACACCAAAAUGCACAGGCUGUGAACUCGAAGAGUAGGGCGGGACACGUGGUAUCCUGUCUGAAUAUGGGGGGACCAUCCUCCAAGGCUAAAUACUCCUGACUGACCGAUAGUGAACCAGUACCGUGAGGGAAAGGCGAAAAGAACCCCGGCGAGGGGAGUGAAAAAGAACCUGAAACCGUGUACGUACAAGCAGUGGGAGCACCUUCGGGUGUGACUGCGUACCUUUUGUAUAAUGGGUCAGCGACUUAUAUUCUGUAGCAAGGUUAACCGUAUAGGGGAGCCGCAGGGAAACCGAGUCUUAACUGGGCGUUAAGUUGCAGGGUAUAGACCCGAAACCCGGUGAUCUAGCCAUGGGCAGGUUGAAGGUUGGGUAACACUAACUGGAGGACCGAACCGACUAAUGUUGAAAAAUUAGCGGAUGACUUGUGGCUGGGGGUGAAAGGCCAAUCAAACCGGGAGAUAGCUGGUUCUCCCCGAAAGCUAUUUAGGUAGCGCCUCGUGAACUCAUCUUCGGGGGUAGAGCACUGUUUCGGCUAGGGGGUCAUCCCGACUUACCAACCCGAUGCAAACUACGAAUACCGAAGAAUGUUAUCACGGGAGACACACGGCGGGUGCUAACGUCCGUCGUGAAGAGGGAAACAACCCAGACCGCCAGCUAAGGUCCCAAAGUCAUGGUUAAGUGGGAAACGAUGUGGGAAGGCACAGACAGCCAGGAUGUUGGCUUAGAAGCAGCCAUCAUUUAAAGAAAGCGUAAUAGCUCACUGGUCGAGUCGGCCUGCGCGGAAGAUGUAACGGGGCUAAACCAUGCACCGAAGCUGCGGCAGCGACACUAUGUGUUGUUGGGUAGGGGAGCGUUCUGUAAGCCUGCGAAGGUGUGCUGUGAGGCAUGCUGGAGGUAUCAGAAGUGCGAAUGCUGACAUAAGUAACGAUAAAGCGGGUGAAAAGCCCGCUCGCCGGAAGACCAAGGGUUCCUGUCCAACGUUAAUCGGGGCAGGGUGAGUCGACCCCUAAGGCGAGGCCGAAAGGCGUAGUCGAUGGGAAACAGGUUAAUAUUCCUGUACUUGGUGUUACUGCGAAGGGGGGACGGAGAAGGCUAUGUUAGCCGGGCGACGGUUGUCCCGGUUUAAGCAUGUAGGCUGAUUGUCCAGGCAAAUCCGGAUAAUCAAGGCUGAGGUGUGAUGACGAGGCACUACGGUGCUGAAGUAACAAAUGCCCUGCUUCCAGGAAAAGCCUCUAAGCAUCAGGUAACAUUAAAUCGUACCCCAAACCGACACAGGUGGUCAGGUAGAGAAUACCAAGGCGCUUGAGAGAACUCGGGUGAAGGAACUAGGCAAAAUGGUGCCGUAACUUCGGGAGAAGGCACGCUGGUGUGUAGGUGAAGUCCCUGCGGAUGGAGCUGAGACCAGUCGAAGAUACCAGCUGGCUGCAACUGUUUAUUAAAAACACAGCACUGUGCAAACACGAAAGUGGACGUAUACGGUGUGACGCCUGCCCGGUGCCGGAAGGUUAAUUGAUGGGGUUAUCCGUAAGGAGAAGCUCUUGAUCGAAGCCCCGGUAAACGGCGGCCGUAACUAUAACGGUCCUAAGGUAGCGAAAUUCCUUGUCGGGUAAGUUCCGACCUGCACGAAUGGCGUAAUGAUGGCCAGGCUGUCUCCACCCGAGACUCAGUGAAAUUGAACUCGCUGUGAAGAUGCAGUGUACCCGCGGCAAGACGGAAAGACCCCGUGAACCUUUACUAUAGCUUGACACUGAACAUUGAGCCUUGAUGUGUAGGAUAGGUGGGAGGCUUUGAAGCGUGGACGCCAGUCUGCGUGGAGCCAACCUUGAAAUACCACCCUUUAAUGUUUGAUGUUCUAACGUUGGCCCCUGACCGGGGUUGCGGACAGUGUCUGGUGGGUAGUUUGACUGGGGCGGUCUCCUCCCAAAGCGUAACGGAGGAGCACGAAGGUUAGCUAAUCCUGGUCGGACAUCAGGAGGUUAGUGCAAUGGCAUAAGCUAGCUUGACUGCGAGCGUGACGGCGCGAGCAGGUGCGAAAGCAGGUCAUAGUGAUCCGGUGGUUCUGAAUGGAAGGGCCAUCGCUCAACGGAUAAAAGGUACUCCGGGGAUAACAGGCUGAUACCGCCCAAGAGUUCAUAUCGACGGCGGUGUUUGGCACCUCGAUGUCGGCUCAUCACAUCCUGGGGCUGAAGUAGGUCCCA
This 2537-nucleotide ribosomal RNA is filed under the name Klebsiella pneumoniae CHS 39. RNAcentral's name for it is "bacterial LSU rRNA". It matches the Rfam family "Bacterial large subunit ribosomal RNA", at positions 1 to 2567 of the family's 2925-position model. Lineage: Bacteria; Pseudomonadati; Pseudomonadota; Gammaproteobacteria; Enterobacterales; Enterobacteriaceae. The record is from RNAcentral.